AUACGGGGGGUGCGAAGCGUUAUUCGGAAUUAUUGGGCGUAAAGGGCGCGUAGGCGGUUGAAUAAGUCAGAUGUGAAAGCCCUUGGCUUAACCAAGGAAGUGCAUUUGAUACUAUUUGACUUGAGUAUGGGAGAGGGAAGUGGAAUUCCUGGUGUAGAGGUGAAAUUCGUAGAUAUCAGGAGGAACACCGGUGGCGAAAGCGACUUCCUGGACCAAUACUGACGCUGAGGCGCGAAGGCGUGGGGAGC
RNAcentral lists this ribosomal RNA (248 nucleotides) under uncultured bacterium. RNAcentral's name for it is "partial 16S ribosomal RNA". It matches the Rfam family "Bacterial small subunit ribosomal RNA", at positions 523 to 769 of the family's 1533-position model. The record is from RNAcentral.